UGAAAAACACGAACGAGGCGAGGCGAGUCAUUUUCGGGGUUUGCCUGCCGCGCAAGAGCUGCAAAAAUUUAGUUAAUUUUUCCUGCAACAGCGAAAAACGGCCAGGGUUAAAGCAGCUGAACAUUAGUUCUCGGAAAUUUGGAAAAUUUGGCAAAGUAGGCGAUUCUUGUGCGCGUAUACGCUACUUGUGCAUCGUUUUCAGGGGUGAAAACGUUCAUAGUGUUAUUAUUUUCAUAUGUGUUAAGCUGUCCGCUUAACUUGUCGUCAAUUCUCGGUGAAAUCGUCUGGUGUAAAGUAGUUAAUUGAAAGCAAACCAAACAUUCGUACAAGCUGGGACCACCAAGUUCCGAUUCUUCUGCAGUGUGUGGUCAAAAUCAGUCGAGUUCCCUUUUCCGGAGCUCAUAUUACACGCGCAGUCUCCUCUCGUGAGGAAGAUUGUAGUCGUCAGGUGCCAUUUCAAGUCAAUGGUUGCUGCAAGCGAAGUGAAAAUUCGGUGAAAUUUUUAGGGGAAUUUUCUUGCGUUCCAAGAAGCAUUGCCAAGAAGAGGUUCUUGCACCGGAAAGAAGCAACCACUUUGAUAGUUUGCAGCCAGCGAUAGCUAUCUUAUCACAAUGGAUAAAAGGAAAUUAUCUACGUCGGGAGAUACACUCUACCAAACAUUGGGUCUACAGAAGACAGCAACAGCAGAUGAGAUCAAGAAGACAUACCGAAAACUCGCCCUAAAAUACCAUCCGGAUAAGAAUCCCAACAAUCCAGAUGCGGCAGAAAAGUUCAAAGAAGUAAAUCGUGCUCAUUCCAUACUGAGUGAUUUGACAAAGCGAAACAUCUACGACAACUAUGGAUCGCUCGGAUUGUACAUUGCUGAACAGUUUGGCGAAGAGAACGUUAAUGCGUACUUCGUCGUUACGUCGCCUACGUGCAAGGCAUUGUUUAUGAUUUGUGGUAUUAUCACCGGAUGUUAUUGCUGCUGCUGUUGUUGCUGUUGCUGUAACUUCUGUUUUGGCAAAUACAAACCAGUUCCGCCCGAGAAUGGUGGAGACUAUCAUCAUCUACACAGAGAUGGUGCCGCAAGUAGUAGCAACGCGCGGGAAGGAACGGCCGUCACAGAACAGCCAACGCGAAGAGAAGAUUUGGCAGAUCUGGAAGAUAACGGUGGUGGCAGUGGUCCGGUAACAUCACAACCGCAAGCUGGACAAGGACAGGGUGCCGGCAUGCCAGUUUAUGCCAUGCCACCACCAUCGUCCAAUCCGACGAAUCCGUUCACCGGAAACGCCACUGAAAGCACGGGGCUGAACACGGGCAAUCAACCAAUCUACACGCCAGGCCACUAAAAAGCAUUACGUUUUGGAAUUCGAUACCCAGCUUCUGCUAUAAACGUUAAAAAACAAUAAGCAUAUGAUUUGCUCCAAUUUUGAAGUUAUCCUACGUUUCCGUUAUUUUCGAAUCACCUAUGCAACACCAUGCGCAUCUACAAUAUUGUACUUUCACGUUGCAUUGCUUAUUGCGUAUCUUUAGUUUGGAGAAAAUGUAGAAGUGUUCCAUUCGCGUGAAAUGGCACAAUGCGAAAAUAUAGAUGAAUUCCCUAGUGGCGAUGUAUGAAGUGAGCGCAUUAAUCAUCGCCAUUAAUAACACUGGUCGGUUCGAAGGAAAAGUUAUUUGUACGGUUGGUGGAAGGCGUAAAGGCGAGCUCGGUCAUAUGCGCAACUCCUACCAGCCCUAUUUCUUUUGUGCAUCGAAUAGCACCGAACCAAAUCAAAAACCCAUAUACAAUAUACUGUAACAAUAACAAACUGUAAUAUUCAUCGACCGAAUCGAACCGCUAAGCAUCUCCCUGCAACGUUGGAGCGAACUGUGGAACCGCUCGUAAAGAAGCAGUCGAGCAAAAAAGUAUCUUUUUAGGGUAUAUUUAUGCGUUAAGUAAUGGCAAAAAAGAUAUGUACACCGGGCAUAAUCGGUACUGUACUUUGUAGUACGCAGUGAAGGGGAUGAAUGAAAGAUCGUGAAACUGUUGUGUAGUAGAAAAUCCUCUGUUUGUGUGUGUUUGUGUGCAUGUACGUGUUUUUAUCCUAGCGAGGCUAUUUCCUACGGAAUGCCUCCGAUUCAGAGUUGAAGAUAAGCAGAAGAAACAGAAUCAAAAGCAACCAUAUUACAAGCUAACAAUAGUUUACUCUUGCUGUUGCUGUUUGUAUCCGUAACGUAAAUACCUAAUUCACGCGAAGCAGAACAUCAUUUGAUGAUAUGCUCAAACGACAAUUGAUGAACAUUAAUACACACAACCCGCUACCAUUUAUCGCUCUUUUGAGAUCGUCCAUGAAUUAGCACAUACUUCCUGUUUGAAAUGGUUGCAGAAACAGAAACCUCUGUUUAAUGAAGAUUUAGGCUUAAAUAACAAGAAACAAAAAAAAAUAUUAAAAUCGAUCUAUAGCGGAGCUGAAACGAGAGCUAUACCAUUUAGCCGAACUUGGGAAACGUGUUUCCUCCUCAUUUAUUAAGUGUUACUAUUUCAAUUUUUGCAUAUACUACUUCAAUUUGGAAAGUGAGACCGUUAUGCAUACUAUGAUAAUAAGAAGCGCAAGGAAGCCACGAAGCGUGUGAGUUCAUUAUGUCCGGUGUCACUACACCGACGCUUGAGAUAAAAAACAUGAAGUAACAUAACUGCGCAAGUUAUUUUUGUGUGGUAGUGUGCAUGCCCUCUGGCUACGCAGCAGCAGAUGAAUAAGUGCAAGACGAAAAGCAAGGCGUUGCUAAAGACAAAGAGAAAGAUAGAGAUGAGGAAAGAAUAUAUCUAUAUACAUACAAAAUUCAUAAAUCUUAUAUCCAUUUAUCCCAAAUUUCCAACGCAUUUUGAAGCACGAACCUUAAAUAGGACGUUAUAAGCGGACGGAGAAACAUUGUUGGUGGUGUAGUAAGGUAGGCAAAAUGAGACAUGAACAAUGGAAAAAGAACGUUGGAAUGGACCAGUUAGAAUGGUUCUAAAUAAACGAGAAAAGCAUCAACAACGACGGGCGAUAUUAGCCACAGCUUUGAAGGACGAACUGCUAUGGACGAUGGAAUUAGGACGGAAACGUAAUUGACAACAACAAAUCAUAUGUUGUAAAAUAUAUUUAACGAUAGUGUUGUAACCAAUCAGCCAACCAGUAGGUAAACCGAUGGUUAUCGCGGGCGUAAGGACAUUACAAUAACCGUUACGGAACAAAAUAAAACUAAGACCUGAACGACGAAACAUUCAUUGCCACGUUAUGCAAAAUCCACAAUAA
Anopheles funestus (African malaria mosquito) is the source of this 3257-nucleotide RNA transcript. It is a transcript of the gene named dnaJ homolog subfamily C member 5 homolog, with no coding region annotated. Lineage: Eukaryota; Metazoa; Arthropoda; Insecta; Diptera; Culicidae. The transcript has 9 exons. The record is from RefSeq and is a predicted model, not a curated record.